AACUAUUAUUUAGUUCGGUUAAGAAAAAUUAGACUUAUUAAUUUUUGCUUAUUUUUAACGUUUUUCCCAUCACUAUCCUCUUUUCCAUUUUGUUGUACAACAUGAAUCACACACUGCCUUACCCUACGAAAAUGAAAACCCAAUCUACGGUGACGCUACCCUGGUCCUGCCGUGACGCGGCCGCUGCUCACCGUGACUCUGACAUUUGUGGCCUAAGCGAGGUUGGGGUUGAGGGAGGAGGCUAGUCGUCGAGGGUCCCUGCCACAUUUGCUAUUGCUCCAAUCGUCCUUGUCGUGGUUGUUGCCGUAUCGUUUGUCGAGGGAAUCUGCUGUUCGCUGCCGCACCGACCGUCAAGGGAACAAAUCGUGUUAAAGCCAUAGUUCUAAAUGAAAAGGAAGCUAUUUCAGAAUGUAGCAUUGAUGGAUUGUCAAAAAUGAACAACCUUAGAUUACUCAUUAUAUCAUAAAGCUUUUCGGGAAGCCUUAAUUUUCUUUCUCAGAAGCUGCAUAUCUUUUGUGGCAUGAUUAUCCUUUUUGUUCUUUGCCAUCAAGUUUUGUAGCCUAUGGCCUUGUGGAAUUGAACAUGCCUAAUAGUAGCAUCAACUGUUUAUGGGAAGACCGCAAGAUUUGAGGGAGCCUUUCAAUCUUCAGAAGGGUUGGCUUUUAUGGGCUGGAGUUGGACUUGUUGGUUCCAUAAUUGCCACUUCAUUGACUGGAGUUGUUGUGUCUUCCUUCAGUGGAGAAGCCCCACAAAGAGAGGUUUAUACUCUAUUUUUCAAAUUUUACUGGCAGAUGCAGAUGUAGUUAUUGGUUUCUACUUGUUAAACUAUUUUCUUUGUAGCAUGGGAGGAGGCAAUUUAGGGUCACUGAUUUUCAAAUAGCAUUAGUAUUGAAACACUGAUCUUCGAAUUACAUCACAGCUGUUUAUAGUAUGAUGUUGACUAGCCAUCAUGGUCUGGAUCAUCAUAGCUAACUAGGCAACUCUGAUUAUCUUCCUUAUGUACCUUAGCAAAACUAAUCUUUCUUGAUAAGAUUCUUACUUUGUUCUGUUAAUGUUGUUUGUCUUAUAUCAUAGUGUUUAAUAAAACCAUGUGGGUA
Molecule: long non-coding RNA, 1097 nt
Organism: Vigna radiata var. radiata (mung bean)
Lineage: Eukaryota; Viridiplantae; Streptophyta; Magnoliopsida; Fabales; Fabaceae
Exons: 3
Source: RefSeq, a predicted model, not a curated record